This 3728-nucleotide long non-coding RNA is filed under the name Homo sapiens (human). RNAcentral describes it as "non-protein coding lnc-OR3A2-1:5". Lineage: Eukaryota; Metazoa; Chordata; Mammalia; Primates; Hominidae. The record is from RNAcentral.
ACGCCGCCGUCGGGCGGUCGUAGGACAUGGCCGCCAGGAGGUAGCUCUCGGUGAUGCCCAGAGCCACGAAGAAGUACAUCUCGGCAAAGCACGCCUGGAAGGAUAUGGCCUGGCCCGGGUGGAGCAGGCCGGCCAGCAGCCUGGGGACCGUGACGGUGGUAAAGCAGACGUCCACGAGGCUCAGACAUGCCACAAAAUGUUGAAUGAAGAUAGGCAGCGUUGGCAAGGAGAGUUUCUGAAACUUCCACUGGAGGGCUCUGCGUGUUCCGGCAGGAAUGGUUUGAGAGCCAGUUUCUGAGUGCCCCAGAGGAGAAUGCUGUAGUGAACACAGCCCUGUACAGAGAAGACAGCAGCUUGAUUCCUCUCAUUUCUCAGUCAUUAGCCCCUCACUCGCUCUCCGGGAGGAUAACGGGGUGUGCGCAGCUCCUCCCCUUCUUUCCUGAAGAAACCUCAGUGGCUUCCGUGCCCUUGCCAGGGAUGUAUCAUUAGAGCCAUUGGUCAACCUACCGUGCCUAAGUCAAGGACAAGGGAAGGACAGUGACUGUGCAAUGCAGAAUGUAACUGCACCUGGCGGCAACCAACCCACAGGCUAUGACCACAACUUUGGUUUUAGAGAGGAAUAGCAGAUAAUACACACAGAAAAACAUCAUUUUACAGUAUUCUGACCUUUUCAGCUAGCAGAGGAUGAGGAGGACAAGGUGGUGGUGUCAUUGGGCAUGUCAACCAAGAGCAAGAAACUCAUGGAGCCAGAAGCUGGGACCAAUAGGACCGCUGUUGCUGAGUUCAUUCUACUGGGCCUAGUGCAAACAGAAGAGAUGCAGCCAGUUGUCUUUGUGCUCCUCCUCUUUGCCUAUCUGGUCACAACUGGGGGCAACCUCAGCAUCCUGGCAGCCGUCUUGGUGGAGCCCAAACUCCACGCCCCCAUGUACUUCUUCCUGGGGAACCUGUCAGUGCUGGAUGUCGGAUGUAUCACUGUCACUGUUCCUGCAAUGUUGGGUCGUCUCUUGUCCCACAAGUCCACAAUUUCCUAUGACGCCUGCCUCUCCCAGCUCUUCUUCUUCCACCUUCUGGCUGGGAUGGACUGCUUCCUGCUGACCGCCAUGGCCUAUGACCGACUCCUGGCCAUCUGCCAGCCCCUCACCUACAGCACCCGCAUGAGUCAGACAGUCCAGAGGAUGUUGGUGGCUGCGUCCUUGGCUUGUGCCUUCACCAACGCACUGACCCACACUGUGGCCAUGUCCACGCUCAACUUCUGUGGCCCCAAUGAGGUCAAUCACUUCUACUGUGACCUCCCACAGCUCUUCCAGCUCUCCUGCUCCAGCACCCAACUCAAUGAGCUGCUGCUCUUUGCUGUGGGUUUCAUCAUGGCAGGCACACCUUUGGUUCUCAUCAUCACUGCCUACAGCCACGUGGCAGCUGCAGUUCUACGAAUCCGUUCAGUGGAGGGCCGAAAGAAGGCCUUCUCCACGUGUGGCUCCCACCUCACCGUGGUUUGUCUUUUCUUUGGAAGAGGUAUCUUCAACUACAUGAGACUGGGUUCAGAGGAGGCUUCAGACAAGGAUAAAGGGGUUGGAGUUUUCAACACUGUUAUCAACCCUAUGCUGAACCCUCUUAUCUACAGCCUCAGAAACCCUGAUGUUCAGGGUGCUCUGUGGCAAAUAUUUUUGGGGAGGAGAUCACUGACCUGAGAGGUAAUGGGGUCCCUCCUUUCCUGCCUUUUCUGGACUGAGGAAAAUUUCCCAUGAAGACAGUAACCAGGAAAAAUUCAGCCACAACUAUUUUUCCUAUCUCCUGAUGCUUGAAGAUCGGUGUUACAUAUUUGUCCUACUAGGAAACCCUACAUAAUUUAUUCAUUCAACAAAUACUUAUUAGAGUACCUCUAUGAUCUGGACAGUCUUCCAAGGCAUUGGUGGACAAAAUGGACAAAAGUCUCUGCACUCAUGCAACUCACAUGCUAUAAAAGUAGACAAAGUAAAUAAGCAUCAUAUAUACCACAUGAUGAUAGUUUCUAUAGAGAUGAACAAAGAUGUUAAUAUGAAGUCAGGUUCUGCCAAGCAAGCCCUGUGCAAGUUUUACCCUGUUUUUGGCUGUGCCUACUUUCUGGAUAGAGUUAAAGCCUUGUAGUUCUGUGUGCCUGGCAAGCAGCAUUCUACAAAGAAUGUCCAGUCGGUCAAUCACAGCCUAAGUGACCAAAAGUAUUUCUGCAAUAUUUCUGGUGAGGACAUGAGAUUCCCUGCAGAUCAGAAUAGGGGAAAAUUUUUUGUUUGUUUCUUUGUUUUGUUUUGUUGUUGUUUUGUUAAAAACUUGUUAAAAAGUUUUUUAAAAAAACCAAAACCAUAGGCCUAGUGCAAUGGAUUAUUUCAUUCAUUUGUUUGCCUUUCACCUUCAUUUUCUUCUCUCCGCUACCACAAAAGAAUCCUGCUGGAUGUUGACUGGGCGCAGGGUGGCUGACGCCUGUAAUCCCAGCACUUUGGGAGGCCGAGGCGGAUGGAUCACGAGGUCAGGAGAUCGAGACCAUCCUGACUAACAUAGUGAAACCCCUUCUCUACUAUAAAUACAAAAACAAAAUUAGCCGGUGUAGUGGUGGGCGCCUGUAGUCCCAGCUACUCGGGAGGCUGAGGCAGGAGAAUGGCGUGAACCUGGGGGGCGGAGCUUGCAGUGAGCCGAGAUAGCGCCACUGCACUCCAGCCUGGGCGACAGAGCAAGACUCCGUCUCAAAAAAAAAAAAAAAAAGAAUCCUGCUGGAUGUUUAGGGAACAGGAAAGGUCUAGAGAGGAAAAGAGCCCACUAAAUUAAAACUACGUUCAUACAUAUAUGAUAUAUCUUAAGGUCAUAAAAGGAAGGUUUCAUCUCCAUUCCCUGCCAUGCCUUUUUCUCUCAUUUAAUGUUACCUUCCUCACACAUAUGAUAAAGUUUUUGAAAGAGUAAAUGUUUGUAUUACAAUCAGGUCCUUAGAAUUUUCAAUGUAGAAUAUCCAAUAUAACCUUCUCCUCCAAAGUCUUACUUAGCUCUCUCAAAGCUCCUUGCUUAGAAAAUACAUACCCAUAAAUGUAGUUCCUGGAAAGGAGGGAUGCAUGCAUGCCUGUCUUCCUUCCUUCCCAGUGUAAAUAUAUUUAUUUUAAAAAUUAUUCAGAAUGUUAUACCUAAUAGUGGAAACAUUCAGACGAUAUUAUUUUGUCAAGUAGGAAAUAAAAAUCCAAAUGUUCCUUCACUGCACCAAAAAUCACACUGUUCAGAGUUUACGCCUCUGACAAUUGUUGUGUUUUUUCCUCUAGCGAUUUCCUGUAUAUAUGAUAUGCCCGUUUCACAUCAGUAGAACCAUACUGUUCUGUGAUCUGCUUCCUGUUUUUCCUGCAUAUUGUGCCAUACAAUCUUUUACAUAAUGAAGACUAACAUCCUGCUUUAUCUGUUUUAAUGGUGGCACAGUAUAUCAUUAAACAUGUAAGUCACAAUUUCUUUCAUUAAACCUCUAUUUCUAUAAUUUGGGUUAUUUUCAAUUGUUUUGCAACAACAAUGUUGUGAUGAAUAUUCUUUUUUUUUUCUUUUUUUUUCUUUUUUUUUUUAAAUUAUAUUUUAAGUUUUAGGGUACAUGUGCACAUUGUGCAGGUUAGUUACAUAUGUAUACAUGUGCCAUGCUGGUGCGCUGCACCCACUAACUCGUCAUCUAGUAUUAGGUAUAUCUCCCAAUGCUAUCCCUCCCCCCUGCCCCCACCCCACCACAGUCCCCA